AUUAAUUAGAAUCUUUUAAUAUUUUUAAAUGCAUAUGAAGUAAUGCAAUGCAUGAAUGCAAAAAAUGCGUCAAUUUUAAUUCAAUUCCAUUUAAGAAAACUUUGCGAGAAAAAUAUUUCUUUACAUAAAGUGAAUUACAAAUAAAGCUUUGCCCUAUUGCUCAGCAUUCUAAUCUUCCUAAGUAACACAGCUAACUCCUGCCCCCG
This 206-nucleotide long non-coding RNA is filed under the name Gossypium raimondii (Peruvian cotton). RNAcentral describes it as "long non-coding RNA (GRAI_LNC002976)". The record is from RNAcentral. Lineage: Eukaryota; Viridiplantae; Streptophyta; Magnoliopsida; Malvales; Malvaceae.